GUCACAAAGCCCAGGGUAGAGAUUGUUGUGAAGGGAACAUGGUCACCAGAAUUAAAAUGCCACAAAAAAAGCACUGAAAAAAAGUAAUUGUUGACCUUGCUGAGGAGCAUUUCAAUGGAGUAGCUGUGGGAGAAAGCUCAUUACACAGUUCCCAGAAAAUUGGAGCAAGUGUGGAGGACGGGGGCAGUUAGAUUCAUCAUGAAAAAAGAUUUUGUUUUUUGGAUCCCUUUGCAAACAACAGAACAAGGACAUGGAGAAUGCUGGCAAGCAUGAUGGACAACAAAGAAAGAAGUGAAGAUGAAAGGGAAUGAAUAGCAGUCCUAUAAGGGGAGGGAGGAGAACCUGGACAAAAAAAAAAAGGAAGUUGCUGAGAAGUCCAGAGAAAUCCAGGAUUAUGGACUACAAAUCUGACCUAAGGUUUAGAAGCCUUCAGAAUCAAGGAACUAGAAAACGAAUUAUAAAUAGACUUGAAUUAGUCUGCAUUCUGUGGCAAACUUAUUUAUAUGUUUUCCAGAAGCUAUGAUCAGCAUCAACACUGAAAUGUCUCUGAAACCAAUUUUACUGUACUUACAUACCUGAGCAAAUAUUUUUAAAAGAUGUUGGCUUUGACUCAUAUUUUCAACAUGAUGGCUGAUUCCUGUGCUUCUCCUAUGCAUAUUCCUUUUUCAUCUCCACGGCUUUGAGGAAUUCUUGGACCAAGUUUCCCUGCCAUACAAAAACCAAACUCUUCCAAAGAGGAAACUUCCAUUCCACAAUAGCAGGCCUAACUCUAUUUUUGGAUUACACCUACAAAGCUCCCCACGUAACAAAUUCAUCAUUUUUUUCUACUGGGCAUUUUACCUUCCUAUAUGAAUUUCACAACUUGUAUUGAUUAAUGCUGAUUGUCCUGAUCACUGUUGCAAUUGUCACAUAACUUGCAAAGAGCCAGUUGGAGUGAUAAUUCGUAUAUCUUUUAAAGAAAAGGUUUUUAAAACUCUCAGUGCAAUACUCAAAUGGACUAAUCUUCUGUGGUAUCUUAAUGCUUCCUUCAAGUGGUGGUUUUCCAUGUAAUUGUUUUUGUCUAGAAUUUUUUUUCUAUUAGAUUAACUUCAUGGAAGCCAGGUUCCUGCUUCAAAACUCCAAGUGAACAACAAGUAUAGAUGAAGUUGUUUUACAUGCUAAUUAUUAGUGUUUGAGAGCAAUAUUUUAUAAAAUAGACCUCAUUACUCAAAAACAACUUGUACUACUAUCCUUUCCAAUUUAAUAAAAAAAUCAAAGAAU
This is a long non-coding RNA of Gorilla gorilla gorilla (western lowland gorilla), 1260 nucleotides long. RefSeq lists it as uncharacterized. The record is from RefSeq and is a predicted model, not a curated record. The transcript is spliced from 5 exons. NCBI's taxonomy places the organism in Eukaryota, Metazoa, Chordata, Mammalia, Primates, Hominidae.